Molecule: ribosomal RNA, 478 nt
Filed under: Aquaspirillum sp. canine oral taxon 091
Lineage: Bacteria; Pseudomonadati; Pseudomonadota; Betaproteobacteria; Neisseriales; Aquaspirillaceae
Description: bacterial SSU rRNA
Rfam family: Bacterial small subunit ribosomal RNA
Source: RNAcentral
GAGUUUGAUCCUGGCUCAGAUUGAACGCUGGCGGCAUGCUUUACACAUGCAAGUCGAACGGCAGCACGAGUGCUUGCACUUGGUGGCGAGUGGCGAACGGGUGAGUAAUGCAUUGGAACGUGCCUUGUAUUGGGGGAUAACUGAGCGAAAGCUUAGCUAAUACCGCAUACGCCCUGAGGGGGAAAGCUGGGGAUCGUUUGACCUGGCGAUAUAAGAGCGGCCAAUGUCUGAUUAGCUAGUUGGUGAGGUAAAGGCUUACCAAGGCGACGAUCAGUAGCGGGUCUGAGAGGAUGAUCCGCCACACUGGGACUGAGAGACGGCCCAGACUCCUACGGGAGGCAGCAGUGGGGAAUUUUGGACAAUGGGGGGAACCCUGAUCCAGCCAUGCCGCGUGUCUGAAGAAGGCCUUCGGGUUGUAAAGGACUUUUGUUGGGGAGCAAAGGUAUCUGGUUAAGAGCUGGAGAUUAUAGANACCCAA